This 580-nucleotide long non-coding RNA is filed under the name Rattus norvegicus (Norway rat). RNAcentral describes it as "long non-coding RNA NONRATT012464". Lineage: Eukaryota; Metazoa; Chordata; Mammalia; Rodentia; Muridae. The record is from RNAcentral.
UGAAUUGAGUGCCAUGCAAGAUGUCCCAGAAUCUAUCCUCUCUAAAGCCAAGGAAAUUGAAGAGAACAACAGACAACUCCUGGAUGACCUUAAGUGGAUACUCAUCAAGGUGAGCACUUCCCAUUAGUUACUUUCUCUCAUAAAGUAGGUAGGUUGUCAAAAUUAACAACAAAUCAAUUCUGAAAUACGUCAUCUUUCCAGAGUGAAACAUAGAUAUCUGAUCUUGUUCACAAUCUUUCAAUAAGACUGUUGUUCAACCUGUGUGUCAUAACUCCUUUGAGGGUCAAUUAACCUUUUCACAGCAGUCAUAUAACUGAUAUUGGGCAUAUCAGGUGUUUACAAUUACUCAAUAUAAUUUUAUUGUUGGGGGUCACCACAGUGAAGGGAAAUAUAUUAAAGUGUUACAGCAUUAGAAAUUUUGAGAACCACUGUUCUAAUAGUUUCCCAGCAUCUCCAAGUUUUUCAGAUGCUUCUUAUCUCUUUCCACCCUAGGGAUCAGAAUGAAACAAAGAUGUUUCUCUUAGGCAGUUAAAGGGCAGAUGAAAAAAGCUUUGGUCCUUCAAUCACAUUCAUCCCUAUC